Molecule: ribosomal RNA, 497 nt
Filed under: uncultured bacterium
Lineage: Bacteria
Description: partial 16S ribosomal RNA
Rfam family: Bacterial small subunit ribosomal RNA
Source: RNAcentral
GAUGAACGCUGGCGGCGUGCCUAAUACAUGCAAGUCGAGCGAACGGACGAGAAGCUUGCUUCUCUGAUGUUAGCGGCGGACGGGUGAGUAACACGUGGAUAACCUACCUAUAAGACUGGGAUAACUUCGGGAAACCGUAGCUAAUACCGGAUAAUAUUUUGAACCGCAUGGUUCAAAAGUGAAAGACGGUCUUGCUGUCACUUAUAGAUGGAUCCGCGCUGCAUUAGCUAGUUGGUAAGGUAACGGCUUACCAAGGCAACGAUGCAUAGCCGACCUGAGAGGGUGAUCGGCCACACUAGAACGGAGACACGGUCCAGACUCCUACGGGAGGCAGCAGUAGGGAAUCUUCCGCAAUGGGCGAAAGCCUGACGGAGCAACGCCGCGUGAGUGAUGAAGGUCUUCGGAUCGUAAAACUCUGUUAUUAGGGAAGAACAUAUGUGUAAGUAACUGUGCACAUCUUGACGGUACCUAUUCAGAAAGCCACGGCUAACUACGUG